RNAcentral lists this unclassified non-coding RNA (295 nucleotides) under Utricularia dichotoma. Its description in RNAcentral is "partial external transcribed spacer". The stretch from base 246 to 295 matches the Rfam family "Eukaryotic small subunit ribosomal RNA", at positions 1 to 50 of the family's 1831-position model. Lineage: Eukaryota; Viridiplantae; Streptophyta; Magnoliopsida; Lamiales; Lentibulariaceae. The record is from RNAcentral.
GGGGCUGGCUUGGAAACAUCGAUAGCGCUCGCUCAUCGACUACUAACGUUGUCGCGGGCGUGGCGUGAUCGAUGUUCGAUCUCUCGUGCGCGGAAUGCCCAUCGGCGCGGUGGUUCACCGAACCCCGCUAAAUAGACCCUCGAUGAAAAGUCGUCCGAUGCAAUCUUGAGCGACCAUCGUACCUGCGAAUGUGUUUGCCGCCGAGAAGGCGCAGCGCAUGCAGUGCCGAUGUCGUACGGGAACGCUACCUGGUUGAUCCUGCCAGUAGUCAUAUGCUUGUCUCAAAGAUUAAGCC